This 510-nucleotide ribosomal RNA is filed under the name uncultured bacterium. Its description in RNAcentral is "partial 16S ribosomal RNA". It matches the Rfam family "Bacterial small subunit ribosomal RNA", at positions 28 to 507 of the family's 1533-position model. The record is from RNAcentral.
GACGAACGCUGGCGGCGUGCUUAACACAUGCAAGUCGAACGAAGAGCGAUGGAAGCUUGCUUCUAUCAAUCUUAGUGGCGAACGGGUGAGUAACGCGUAAUCAACCUGCCCUUCAGAGGGGGACAACAGUUGGAAACGACUGCUAAUACCGCAUACGAUCUAAUCUCGGCAUCGAGGAUGGAUGAAAGGUGGCCUCUACAUGUAAGCUAUCACUGAAGGAGGGGAUUGCGUCUGAUUAGCUAGUUGGAGGGGUAACGGCCCACCAAGGCGAUGAUCAGUAGCCGGUCUGAGAGGAUGAACGGCCACAUUGGGACUGAGACACGGCCCAGACUCCUACGGGAGGCAGCAGUGGGGAAUCUUCCGCAAUGGACGAAAGUCUGACGGAGCAACGCCGCGUGAGUGAUGACGGCCUUCGGGCUGUAAAGCUCUGUUAAUCGGGACGAAAGGCCUUCUUGCGAAUAGUGAGAAGGAUUGACGGUACCGGAAUAGAAAGCCACGGCUAACUACGUG